RNAcentral lists this ribosomal RNA (253 nucleotides) under uncultured bacterium. RNAcentral describes it as "partial 16S ribosomal RNA". It matches the Rfam family "Bacterial small subunit ribosomal RNA", at positions 524 to 776 of the family's 1533-position model. The record is from RNAcentral.
UACAGAGGGUGCAAGCGUUAAUCGGAGUUACUGGGCGUAAAGGGCGCGUAGGCGGUGAUAUGAGUGUGAUGUGAGAGCCCCGGGCUUAACCUGGGAAGCGCAUCGCAAACGAUAUGACUGGAGUAUAUGAGAGGGUGGCGGAAUUUCCGGCGUAGCGGUGUAAUGCGUAGAGAUCGGAAGGAACGUCGAUGGCGAAGGCAGCCACCUGGCAUAAUACUGACGCUGAGGCGCGAAAGCGUGGGGAGCGAACAGG